UACGUAGGGUGCAAGCGUUGUCCGGAAUUAUUGGGCGUAAAGAGCUCGUAGGCGGUCUGUCGCGUCUGCUGUGAAAACUCGGGGCUUAACCCCGGGCCUGCAGUGGGUACGGGCAGACUAGAGUGCGGUAGGGGAGACUGGAAUUCCUGGUGUAGCGGUGAAAUGCGCAGAUAUCAGGAGGAACACCGGUGGCGAAGGCGGGUCUCUGGGCAGUAACUGACGCUGAGGAGCGAAAGCGUGGGUAGCAAACAGG
Molecule: ribosomal RNA, 253 nt
Filed under: uncultured bacterium
Lineage: Bacteria
Description: partial 16S ribosomal RNA
Rfam family: Bacterial small subunit ribosomal RNA
Source: RNAcentral